RNAcentral lists this ribosomal RNA (373 nucleotides) under uncultured organism. RNAcentral describes it as "bacterial SSU rRNA". It matches the Rfam family "Bacterial small subunit ribosomal RNA", at positions 527 to 896 of the family's 1533-position model. The record is from RNAcentral.
CGGGGGAGCAAGCGUUGUUCGGAUUUACUGGGCGUAAAGGGCGCGUAGGCGGCCACCGCAAGUCGACUGUGAAAUCUCCGGGCUUAACCCGGAAAGGUCAGCCGAUACUGCGGGGCUAGAGUGCAGAAGGGGCAACUGGAAUUCUCGGUGUAGCGGUGAAAUGCGUAGAUAUCGAGAGGAACACCUGCGGCGAAGGCGGGUUGCUGGGCUGACACUGACGCUGAUGCGCGAAAGCUAGGGGAGCGAACGGGAUUAGAUACCCCGGUAGUCCUAGCCUUAAACGAUGAAUGCUUGGUGUCUGGGGUUUUAUAGUCCCCGGGUGCCGUCGCUAACGCUUUAAGCAUUCCGCCUGGGGGGUACGGUCGCAAGACUG